RNAcentral lists this ribosomal RNA (177 nucleotides) under uncultured bacterium. RNAcentral describes it as "partial 16S rRNA". It matches the Rfam family "Bacterial small subunit ribosomal RNA", at positions 340 to 511 of the family's 1533-position model. The record is from RNAcentral.
UAAGGGGAAAGGUACUUUCCCUACCAAAUAGGGCGGCAAGCCUGAUGGAGCAACGCCGCGUGAGUGAAGAAGGUCUUCGGAUCGUAAAACUCUGUUGUUAGAGAAGAACAUGCGAGAGAGUAACUGUUCUUGUAUUGACGGUAUCUAACCAGAAAGCCACGGCUAACUACGUGCCAG